GUCGAGAAUCUUUCACAAUGGGGGCAACCCUGAUGGAGCGACGCCGCGUGGAGGAUAAGGUCUUCGGAUUGUAAACUCCUGUCAUGCGUGAACAAGGUUGCUUGGUUAAUACCUGGGCAAAUUGAUGGUAACGCAAGAGGAAGAGACGGCUAACUCUGUGCCAGCAGCCGCGGUAAUACAGAGGUCUCAAGCGUUGUUCGGAAUCACUGGGCGUAAAGGGUGCGUAGGUGGCGUGGUAAGUAAGAUGGGAAAGCCCGGGGCUCAACCUCGGAACUGCAUCAGAUACUGCCAUGCUAGAGUACUGGAGAGGUGACUAGAAUUCUCGGUGUAGCAGUGAAAUGCGUAGAUAUCGAGAGGAAUACCAAAGGCGUAGGCAGGUCACUGGACAGUUACUGACACUGAGGCACGAAGGCCAGGGGAGCGAACGGGAUUAGAAACCCGGGUAGUCC
RNAcentral lists this ribosomal RNA (449 nucleotides) under uncultured bacterium. Its description in RNAcentral is "partial 16S ribosomal RNA". It matches the Rfam family "Bacterial small subunit ribosomal RNA", at positions 354 to 796 of the family's 1533-position model. The record is from RNAcentral.